This 484-nucleotide ribosomal RNA is filed under the name uncultured bacterium. Its description in RNAcentral is "partial 16S ribosomal RNA". It matches the Rfam family "Bacterial small subunit ribosomal RNA", at positions 30 to 507 of the family's 1533-position model. The record is from RNAcentral.
AUUGAACGCUGGCGGCAGGCCUAACACAUGCAAGUCGAGCGGAUGACUGGAGCUUGCUCCUGGAUUCAGCGGCGGACGGGUGAGUACUGCCUAGGAAUCUGCCUGGCAGUGGGGGAUAACGUCCGGAAACGGGCGCUAAUACCGCAUACGUCCUGAGGGAGAAAGUGGGGGAUCUUCGGACCUCACGCUAUCAGAUGAGCCUAGGUCGGAUUAGCGAGUUGGUGGGGUUAAGGCCUACCAAGGCGAAGAUCCGUAACUGGUCUGAGGGGAUGAUCAGUCAGACUGGAACUGGGACACGGUCCAGACGGGUACGGGAGGCAGCAGUGAGGAAUAUGGGACGAUGGGCGAAAGCCUGUUCCAGCCAUGCCGCGUGUGUGAAGAAGGUCUUCGGAUUGUAAAGCACUUGAAGUUGGGAGGAAGGGCAGUAAGUGAAUACCUUGCUGUUUUGACGUUACCAACAGAAUAAGCACCGGCUAACUUCGUG